RNAcentral lists this ribosomal RNA (379 nucleotides) under uncultured eukaryote. RNAcentral describes it as "partial 18S ribosomal RNA". It matches the Rfam family "Eukaryotic small subunit ribosomal RNA", at positions 592 to 975 of the family's 1831-position model. The record is from RNAcentral.
CAAUAGCGUAUAUUAAAGUUGUUGCGGUUAAAAAGCUCGUAGUUGGAUUUCUGCCGAGGACGACCGGUCCGCCCUCCGGGUGAGUAUCUGGUUUGGCCUGGGCAUCUUCUUGGAGAACGUAGCUGCACUUGACUGUGUGGUGCGGUGUCCAGGACUUUUACUUUGAGGAAAUUAGAGUGUUUCAAGCAGGCACACGCCUUGAAUACAUUAGCAUGGAAUAAUAAGAUAGGACCUCGGUUCUAUUUUGUUGGUUUCUAGAGCUGAGGUAAUGAUUAAUAGGGAUAGUUGGGGGCAUUCGUAUUUAACUGUCAGAGGUGAAAUUCUUGGAUUUGCUAAAGACGGACUACUGCGAAAGCAUUUGCCAAGGAUGUUUUCAUUG